UCUAAAAUGGCAGAUCAUUGCAUAGGACUUAAGCUCCUAAUAGGAAGCCCAGCUUCUUUUAGAAAUUA
This 68-nucleotide transfer RNA is filed under the name Macrobrachium lanchesteri. Its description in RNAcentral is "tRNA-Leu". The record is from RNAcentral. Lineage: Eukaryota; Metazoa; Arthropoda; Malacostraca; Decapoda; Palaemonidae.